UGACAGCGAUGAUGCGGAAGGUUGCUGACACACCCGGCCGCUUUGCCAUGGCGGUGAUGUCAGGUAAAAUUUUCGCGGAGUAUGUCUAUUAGCUAAAUAGGCGAUAA
Molecule: non-coding RNA, 107 nt
Organism: Domibacillus antri
Lineage: Bacteria; Bacillati; Bacillota; Bacilli; Caryophanales; Bacillaceae
Source: Rfam